RNAcentral lists this unclassified non-coding RNA (338 nucleotides) under soil metagenome. RNAcentral describes it as "partial contains 5.8S ribosomal RNA, internal transcribed spacer 2, and large subunit ribosomal RNA". The stretch from base 1 to 120 matches the Rfam family "5.8S ribosomal RNA", at positions 35 to 154 of the family's 154-position model. The record is from RNAcentral.
GAUGAAGAACGUAGCGAAAUGCGAUACGUAGUGUGAAUUGCAGAAUUCAGUGAAUCAUCGAAUCUUUGAACGCACAUUGCACCUCUCGGUAUUCCGGGAGGUAUGCCUGUUCGAGCGUCAUUUGUACCCUCAAGCUCUGCUUGGUGUUGGGUGUUUGUUCCGCCUCUGUGUGUGAACUCGCCUCAAAACAAUUGGCAGCCGGCGUACUUGUUUCGGAGCGCAGCACAUUUUGCGAUCCAGAUCAACGUACAGCGGCAUCCAAGAAGCCUUAUUUAACGCUCUUGACCUCGGAUCAGGUAGGAUACCCGCUGAACUUAAGCAUAUCAAUAAGCGGAGGA